Long non-coding RNA from Odontomachus brunneus, 400 nucleotides. RefSeq lists it as uncharacterized. The transcript is spliced from 3 exons. Lineage: Eukaryota; Metazoa; Arthropoda; Insecta; Hymenoptera; Formicidae. The record is from RefSeq and is a predicted model, not a curated record.
GAUCCUUGAAGAAGCGAUACCGUAGUCUAUAAUCUAGCUAUAUAAAAAUGCAGCGCGCUGAUUGGCUGUCGCGACGCGCCGCGGCGUGCCGAGCGUCCUCGCGCUGUGUGUAGAGUGCGCAUCUUCAAUUUUUUUGCAUCAAGCAACCGUCACGAAAACAUCCAUCGACAUCGUUCUGCGAAAAGUGCGUCUUGUAUGGAAAUAAGUAUUGGGAGUGUCGAAAUAGCGAUGUACGAUCGUCGGGACGCAUUUUCUGGAUAUAGAUUGCAACGAAGAUAUUAAUAAUUCGAGUAGUUAUGGAUGCAAUAUUGAAAAAUUUGAUUCAAGUCAAGCCAAUUCUGUUCGAAGAGUAGAAAGCAGAACACGGCGGAGCUUGACUCGACGAGGUUUAUAUGAGUCG